UAAAGGGUUCAUACUGCCAGAAGAGAUUGGAAUAAUUCUGAAGGGAAAGAGGACCCUUAGAUUGGCCUGACAGAUAAAGACAUCAUCAUCAUUGCCAUGAAGGUGAACAGAAGAUGUGGCAAGGCAGAAGAAUGGUUGACAAUCCGUAUGGUAGUAUGCCUGGCAGGAAGUGUCAAUUCCCUACCACAAAGGCUGCCCUCAGAUUCUUCUCCUAAGGAGAAGACAAGAGAAAUCAGACCGCUCACAGGGACACAAUGUUGAAGAGGACAAAGGGCAAGCCUAAAGAGAAUAGCAGAGUAUAGUACAGCACUGCAAAGAAUACAGUAUUCAUUCUCUGCUCUUGCCUCCCAGUGAUUUU
Molecule: long non-coding RNA, 358 nt
Organism: Chiroxiphia lanceolata (lance-tailed manakin)
Lineage: Eukaryota; Metazoa; Chordata; Aves; Passeriformes; Pipridae
Exons: 3
Source: RefSeq, a predicted model, not a curated record